GACGAACGCUGGCGGCGUGCUUAACACAUGCAAGUCGAACGGAAAGGCCCUGCUUUCGUGGGGUGCUCGAGUGGCGAACGGGUGAGUAACACGUGAGUAACCUGCCCUUGACUUUGGUAUAACUUCAGGAAACUGGGGCUAAUACCGGAUAGGAGCUCCUGCUGCAUGGUGGGGGUUGGAAAGUUUCGGCGGUUGGGGAUGGACUCGCGGCUUAUCUGCUUGUUGGUGGGGUAGUGGCUUACCAAGGGUUUGACGGGUAGCUGGCCUGGGUGGGUGACCGGCCACAUUGGGACUGAGAUACGGCCCGGACUCCUACGGGGGGCAGCAGGGGGGAAUAUUGCACAAUGGGCGGAAGCCUGAUGCAGCAACGCCGCGUGCGGAAUGACGGCCUUCGGGUUGUAAACCGCUUUCGCCGGUAACGAAGCGUGAGUGACGGUAAUGGGUAAAGAAGCACCGGCUAACUACGUG
RNAcentral lists this ribosomal RNA (468 nucleotides) under uncultured bacterium. Its description in RNAcentral is "partial 16S ribosomal RNA". It matches the Rfam family "Bacterial small subunit ribosomal RNA", at positions 28 to 507 of the family's 1533-position model. The record is from RNAcentral.